CGUAUGGCGAGCCUCUAACCCAGACCCGGUUAUCCGGGUCGGGAACAGCGUCAGGCGGGUAGUUUGACUGGGGCGGUCGCCUCCUAAAAUGUAACGGAGGCGCCCAAAGGUUCCCUCAGCCUGGUUGGCAAUCAGGCGUCGAGUGCAAUGGCAAAAGGGAGCUUGACUGCGAGACUGACAGGUCGAGCAGGAGCGAAAGCUGGGCAUAGUGAUCCGGCGGUUGCGUGUGGAAGCGCCGUCGCUCAACGGAUAAAAGGUACCCCGGGGAUAACAGGCUAAUCUUCCCCAAGAGUCCAUAUCGACGGGAAGGUUUGGCACCUCGAUGUCGGCUCAUCGCAUCCUGGGGCUGAAGCAGGUCCCAAGGGUUGGGCUGUUCGCCCAUUAAAGCGGUACGCGAGCUGGGUUUAGAACGUCGUGAGACAGUUCGGUCCCUAUCCUCUGUAGCCGCAGGUAGAUUGAGGAAAGCUAUCCCUAGUACGAGAGGAC
Molecule: ribosomal RNA, 486 nt
Filed under: uncultured bacterium
Lineage: Bacteria
Description: bacterial LSU rRNA
Rfam family: Bacterial large subunit ribosomal RNA
Source: RNAcentral